This 223-nucleotide long non-coding RNA is filed under the name Gossypium barbadense (sea-island cotton). RNAcentral's name for it is "long non-coding RNA (GBAR_LNC020837)". The record is from RNAcentral. Lineage: Eukaryota; Viridiplantae; Streptophyta; Magnoliopsida; Malvales; Malvaceae.
AAGGUUUAAAGGAUCCUUUUACGUAUAAUUUUAGUUUCUAGGUUUAGAUUAAAAUUUCUCUAAGUGGCUGCUGUAGUUUUCUUAAGUUCUCAAUAUUUUUCUGCAUUUUUAAUCUUCGAUUUUUCUCUAGAAAACUUCUACACUUUAAAAUACAAGUAGUUUAAUAUUGGAUGUUUCUUUUCUUCAUCAAAAGUUCUUAAUCAGAUCAUUCAAAGAGGAUUUU